RNAcentral lists this unclassified non-coding RNA (315 nucleotides) under plant metagenome. RNAcentral describes it as "partial contains 5.8S ribosomal RNA, internal transcribed spacer 2, and large subunit ribosomal RNA". The stretch from base 1 to 105 matches the Rfam family "5.8S ribosomal RNA", at positions 50 to 154 of the family's 154-position model. The record is from RNAcentral.
AAAAUGCGAUAAGUAAUGUGAAUUGCAGAAUUCAGUGAAUCAUCGAAUCUUUGAACGCACAUUGCGCCCGCCAGUAUUCUGGCGGGCAUGCCUGUUCGAGCGUCAUUUCAACCCUCAAACCCCCGGGUUUGGUGUUGGGGAUCGGGCUGCGGUUCUACCGCGUCCCGGCCCCGAAAUCUAGUGGCGGUCUCGCUGCAGCCUCCAUUGCGUAGUAGCUAACACCUCGCAACUGGAACGCGGCGCGGCCAAGCCGUUAAACCCCCAACUUCUGAAUGUUGACCUCGGAUCAGGUAGGAAUACCCGCUGAACUUAAGC